RNAcentral lists this ribosomal RNA (301 nucleotides) under uncultured bacterium. RNAcentral describes it as "partial 16S ribosomal RNA". It matches the Rfam family "Bacterial small subunit ribosomal RNA", at positions 509 to 807 of the family's 1533-position model. The record is from RNAcentral.
CAGUCGCCGCGGUAAUACGUAGGGUGCAAGCGUUAAUCGGAAUUACUGGGCGUAAGGCGUGCGCAGGCGGUUAUAUAAGUCAGAUGUGAAAUCCCCGGGCUCAACCUGGGAACUGCAUUUGAGACUGUAUGGCUAGAGUGUGUCAGAGGGGGGUAGAAUUCCACGUGUAGCAGUGAAAUGCGUAGAUAUGUGGAGGAAUACCGAUGGCGAAGGCAGCCCCCUGGGAUAACACUGACGCUCAUGCACGAAAGCGUGGGGAGCAAACAGGAUUAGAUACCCCCGUAGUCCCUGUCUCUUAUAC